This 3592-nucleotide unclassified non-coding RNA is filed under the name Haliotis rufescens (red abalone). RNAcentral describes it as "tELO2-interacting protein 2-like, transcript variant X3". The record is from RNAcentral. Lineage: Eukaryota; Metazoa; Mollusca; Gastropoda; Lepetellida; Haliotidae.
UACACAAUACAUCUUGAGCCGUAUACUAGACUAAUUCGCUAAAACAAAUAUAGGGGAGGGUGUGUGUAAAAAAUAUUCUUGUGUCUCAAAUUUUGAUAACAUUAAAUCAUGUAUACCAUCAAGUAUACACGAAUUAACUUCAAGUUGAUAUUUUUCAAUGGAAAUAAUUUAGUUUCAAGAACUAUUUCUUCAACUUAUGUAAUACGGUGCUUAUUUUCACUGAACAUAUCGACAGGCAUAUACAUGUACAGACAUAAAGGCAUAGUCUCCCUUGUAGUGUUUUCCAAAUCCCAGUGAAAUUCAGGAAACACAUGUAUAUCUUCCACAUAGGAUAUUCACUGUUCCACGAUUUUAGAACGUGUUUUACUUGCUGAGGGUAUGUUUACGUUUACUGUCUUCAGUUUACACGCCUCAACCAUAUUGUCAAAUAUCUUCUCCUUGCAGUCAAAAAUGGGGGUAGUCGUUAAGGUCAUUGAAGCCGUUUAAGAGACUUUAAAGGGAAAAAAAACAUUGAGUGACCAUGAGUUGACCCCAUCCGAUAUCUUACAAGGGUUGACUGAUGCAUUCUGUGCCACUCAUAGAAAGAUUUGAAUUAAAGACGUUAAAAUUAUUUCUUUUCCAGCAUAAACCCCCUUCCACAUUGGUACAGUUUGCCAACGAUGUGCGUAUCGUAUUAUCAUUUUUGUCAUUGUCACAACACUAAAGUAAUUACAUGUCAGUUGUAAUCACUUAUAUAAUUCCUCUCACUUAACGGCAUAAAUGCCAUAGAAAGUCUCAGUCAAAACGAACUGCAAAACCCGAUGUCUGAAAAGGAAUUUAAGAUAGAUCCCUGGUAAACCCUCAAACAUGAGGGGCUAACCGUAGGGGAGGUAACUCCAUUUCUUCCCUUUACCCCACCAGGCGUCGUCAGAGAGAGCAUGGCUGUCAAGGCAGUGUUUUUAACUGACGGUACAAGUAAAGUUUGAGCGUUUUCGUCAAUUUCAACAACAUUACGAUGGACCAAGGUGCCUUCUCGGGGAAGACAUUGCACGAGCGACUGAAAUUAGUUGUGAAGGAAACUAACGAAGAUCGGUUUCAAUUUGAACUGACAAAUUUCAACAAGCAAGUUGAAAAUGCUGAAAACACUUAUGUUGUAUCAUGCUUAGGUUCAGUGUCAAUACAUGAAACGUUACAUCAGUUAAUUAACAGAGCAGUCGAUUGUGAGAUAUCUGACGUCGAACCUUCAGAGUAUACCAAGGAUGUCUUCCGAGGUAGGGCAGCGCUGUCAGAAAAUGUUUUGGAGAGUGUCCUCUGCUUACUGAAGUGCAUAUCACCUGAAGAUGCGGCAGUUACAAGAACAUUGAGAAAGAUAAAUCCACAUGUAGUACACUUGGCCUCAGGGAAUGUGGUGAAGAAUCUAUGGACCAGCGCCAGCUCUGUCCUCAAGGCCACUAAGGUGCUGCAGCAGUUGAAGACGCUGUACAGAGUAGAUGCUUACUCCGACCUCCUUCAAGUUAGCCUGACUGGAACCAAGCAUGACCUGCCUUCUCCAGCAGACUCCUUGUACGGUCUGUACCUGGCUAUAGUACAACACGUACUGACCAGGGACAGCUGGCGGAGGAACCCUGUUUCUGUUGCUUCGUUUGUGUGGGUGCUGCUUCACACCAAGUCCCCCUGGCUCAGUGAGUACCUAGGACAGGUUCUACCCUUGCCUCUCAAUAUGGUGGAUGAUUUCACGGUUGAGAACAAGAUUGUCGGUGUGAAAUGUUUGUACCACAUCCUGCAGAAUGUGUCGCAUGAGGAACUACGCUGGUAUGGCCGGGCUGAUGUCGUGUAUGCAGCCUUGAGGCAUCAGCUGUACACAAAGAACACCACCUUGAUGACGGUCCUCCACCCGGCGCUGCUCCUCGUCCUCCGCAUUGUGGAGAGGGCAGCUACAUCAGCAAGUUCCAGAGAAAUGAGCAGGCAUGAUGAAAUCUUCAAGAUGAUAAUUUACGAUUCAGAAAUGGAGAACAACAUCCACCUGCGGCGCUCGCUCACUGCUCACAUACCAGCCUUCAUUGACGUCAUGGGCAUCAGUGUCGUGUGUCACAUGACCAGUGUCGUGGGGCUUGUCUCCAACUACCUGGAAAUCUAUGAUGGGCCCGAAGAGACGUCCAGGUUGAAUGCGUUAUCGAUUUUGAAGUCUCUACUGCUGACUGUUUGGCCGAGAAUCCCAGUCCAUGCCAACGUCUUGCUGAAAUGUCUUCUCAAGUUUCUGUAUGAUGUUGGGGCUGACACUACAGUAACGCCUCAGACUGUGAAAGAUGAAAUGACGAAAUUGGCAACCGAAUGCUUGUUGCUUCUGACAAAAACAGCUCCAGAUAUCGUUGAACCUGGGCUCCUGUCGGUUUGUGACACAGACACACCUGUAUUUGUGAGGGACAUCGCUAGCAAGGUGUGUGAAACAUUCAGACACACAUGUGUUGGUUAGAGACAUCGCUAGCAAGGUGUGUGAAACAGUCAGACACACAUGUGUUGGUAAGAGACAGAGCUAGCAAGGUGUGUGAAACAGUCAGACACACAUGUGUUGGUAAGAGACAGAGCUAGCAAGGUGUGUGAAACAUUCCGACACACAUGUGUUGGUUAGAGACAGAGCUAGCAAGAUGUGUGAAACAUUCCGACACACAUGUGAUGGUUAGGGACAGAGCUAGCAAGGUGUGUGAAAGAUUUUGAUAUAUGUGUUGUUAGAGACAAAGCAAGCAAAUUGUGUAAAACAUUUUGACAAAUCACAUUAAAAUCAGAUCUUAGUUCGCGCUAUCACUAAAUAAAGAUCUGAGGACAUUCACCCAGAGCAACCUUUUGUGAUUCUUGGCCGACUAAUGAAAUGGUUUAAUGUAUGUAUGUCACAGCUGUGUCGUGAAGAGUCAUGUAACUGAGACAAACACGUCAUGUAUGUAUGUCACAGCUGUGUAGUGAAGUGUGUCAUGUAACUGAAUCACAUAUGUCAUGUAUGUAUGUCAGAGCUGUGUCGUGAAGAGUGUCAUGUAACUGAGACACACAUGUCGUGUGUAUGUCACAGCUGUGUCGUGAAGAGUGUCAUGUAACUGAGACACACAUGUCGUGUGUAUGUCACAGCUGUGUCAGGAGGUGUGUCAUGUAACUGAUUCACACAUGUCAUGUAUGUAUCUCACAGCUGUGUCGUGAAGAGUGUCAUGUAACUGAGACACACAUGUCGUGUGUAUGUCACAGCUGUGUCAGGAGGUGUGUCAUGUAACUGAAUCACAUAUGUCAUGUAUGUAUGUCACAGCUGUGUCGUGAAGAGUCAUGUAACUGAGACACACAUCAUGUAUGUAUCUCACAGCUGUGUCAGGAGGUGUGUCAUGUAACUGAGACACACAUGUCAUGUGUGUAUGUCAAAGCUGUGUCGUAAAGUCAUGUAAAUGAGACACACGUCAUGUGUGUAUGUCACAGCUGUGUAGUGAAGUGUGUCAUGUAACUGAAUCACAUAUGUCAUGUAUGUAUGUCACAGCUGUGUCGUGAAGAGUGUCAUGUAACUGAGACACACAUGUCGUGUGUAUGUCACAGCUGUGUCAGGAGGUGUGUCAUGUAACUGAUUCACACAUGUCAUGUA